This 2920-nucleotide ribosomal RNA is filed under the name Klebsiella pneumoniae. Its description in RNAcentral is "23S ribosomal RNA". It matches the Rfam family "Bacterial large subunit ribosomal RNA". The record is from RNAcentral. Lineage: Bacteria; Pseudomonadati; Pseudomonadota; Gammaproteobacteria; Enterobacterales; Enterobacteriaceae.
GGGUUGUGAGGUUAAGCGACUAAGCGUACACGGUGGAUGCCCUGGCAGUCAGAGGCGAUGAAGGACGUGCUAAUCUGCGAAAAGCGUCGGUAAGGUGAUAUGAACCGUUAUAGCCGGCGAUGUCCGAAUGGGGAAACCCAGUGCAAUUCGUUGCACUAUCGUUAACUGAAUACAUAGGUUAACGAGGCGAACCGGGGGAACUGAAACAUCUAAGUACCCCGAGGAAAAGAAAUCAACCGAGAUUCCCCCAGUAGCGGCGAGCGAACGGGGAGCAGCCCAGAGUCUGAAUCAGCUUGUGUGUUAGUGGAACGGUCUGGAAAGUCCGACGGUACAGGGUGAUAGUCCCGUACACCAAAAUGCACAGGUUGUGAACUCGAAGAGUAGGGCGGGACACGUGGUAUCCUGUCUGAAUAUGGGGGGACCAUCCUCCAAGGCUAAAUACUCCUGACUGACCGAUAGUGAACCAGUACCGUGAGGGAAAGGCGAAAAGAACCCCGGCGAGGGGAGUGAAAAAGAACCUGAAACCGUGUACGUACAAGCAGUGGGAGCACCUUCGGGUGUGACUGCGUACCUUUUGUAUAAUGGGUCAGCGACUUAUAUUCUGUAGCAAGGUUAACCGUAUAGGGGAGCCGCAGGGAAACCGAGUCUUAACUGGGCGUUAAGUUGCAGGGUAUAGACCCGAAACCCGGUGAUCUAGCCAUGGGCAGGUUGAAGGUUGGGUAACACUAACUGGAGGACCGAACCGACUAAUGUUGAAAAAUUAGCGGAUGACUUGUGGCUGGGGUGAAAGGCCAAUCAAACCGGGAGAUAGCUGGUUCUCCCCGAAAGCUAUUUAGGUAGCGCCUCGUGAAUUCAUCUUCGGGGUAGAGCACUGUUUCGGCUAGGGGGUCAUCCCGACUUACCAACCCGAUGCAAACUACGAAUACCGAAGAAUGUUAUCACGGGAGACACACGGCGGGUGCUAACGUCCGUCGUGAAGAGGGAAACAACCCAGACCGCCAGCUAAGGUCCCAAAGUCAUGGUUAAGUGGGAAACGAUGUGGGAAGGCACAGACAGCCAGGAUGUUGGCUUAGAAGCAGCCAUCAUUUAAAGAAAGCGUAAUAGCUCACUGGUCGAGUCGGCCUGCGCGGAAGAUGUAACGGGGCUAAACCAUGCACCGAAGCUGCGGCAGCGACACUAUGUGUUGUUGGGUAGGGGAGCGUUCUGUAAGCCUGCGAAGGUGUGCUGUGAGGCAUGCUGGAGGUAUCAGAAGUGCGAAUGCUGACAUAAGUAACGAUAAAGCGGGUGAAAAGCCCGCUCGCCGGAAGACCAAGGGUUCCUGUCCAACGUUAAUCGGGGCAGGGUGAGUCGACCCCUAAGGCGAGGCCGAAAGGCGUAGUCGAUGGGAAACAGGUUAAUAUUCCUGUACUUGGUGUUACUGCGAAGGGGGACGGAGAAGGCUAUGUUAGCCGGGCGACGGUUGUCCCGGUUUAAGCAUGUAGGCUGGUUGUCCAGGCAAAUCCGGAUAAUCAAGGCUGAGGUGUGAUGACGAGGCACUACGGUGCUGAAGUAACAAAUGCCCUGCUUCCAGGAAAAGCCUCUAAGCAUCAGGUAACAUUAAAUCGUACCCCAAACCGACACAGGUGGUCAGGUAGAGAAUACCAAGGCGCUUGAGAGAACUCGGGUGAAGGAACUAGGCAAAAUGGUGCCGUAACUUCGGGAGAAGGCACGCUGGUGUGUAGGUGAAGUCCCUGCGGAUGGAGCUGAGACCAGUCGAAGAUACCAGCUGGCUGCAACUGUUUAUUAAAAACACAGCACUGUGCAAACACGAAAGUGGACGUAUACGGUGUGACGCCUGCCCGGUGCCGGAAGGUUAAUUGAUGGGGUUAUCCGUAAGGAGAAGCUCUUGAUCGAAGCCCCGGUAAACGGCGGCCGUAACUAUAACGGUCCUAAGGUAGCGAAAUUCCUUGUCGGGUAAGUUCCGACCUGCACGAAUGGCGUAAUGAUGGCCAGGCUGUCUCCACCCGAGACUCAGUGAAAUUGAACUCGCUGUGAAGAUGCAGUGUACCCGCGGCAAGACGGAAAGACCCCGUGAACCUUUACUAUAGCUUGACACUGAACAUUGAGCCUUGAUGUGUAGGAUAGGUGGGAGGCUUUGAAGCGUGGACGCCAGUCUGCGUGGAGCCAACCUUGAAAUACCACCCUUUAAUGUUUGAUGUUCUAACGUUGGCCCCUUACCGGGGUUGCGGACAGUGUCUGGUGGGUAGUUUGACUGGGGCGGUCUCCUCCCAAAGCGUAACGGAGGAGCACGAAGGUUAGCUAAUCCUGGUCGGACAUCAGGAGGUUAGUGCAAUGGCAUAAGCUAGCUUGACUGCGAGCGUGACGGCGCGAGCAGGUGCGAAAGCAGGUCAUAGUGAUCCGGUGGUUCUGAAUGGAAGGGCCAUCGCUCAACGGAUAAAAGGUACUCCGGGGAUAACAGGCUGAUACCGCCCAAGAGUUCAUAUCGACGGCGGUGUUUGGCACCUCGAUGUCGGCUCAUCACAUCCUGGGGCUGAAGUAGGUCCCAAGGGUAUGGCUGUUCGCCAUUUAAAGUGGUACGCGAGCUGGGUUUAGAACGUCGUGAGACAGUUCGGUCCCUAUCUGCCGUGGGCGCUGGAGAAUUGAGGGGGGCUGCUCCUAGUACGAGAGGACCGGAGUGGACGCAUCACUGGUGUUCGGGUUGUCAUGCCAAUGGCACUGCCCGGUAGCUAAAUGCGGAAGAGAUAAGUGCUGAAAGCAUCUAAGCACGAAACUUGCCCCGAGAUGAGUUCUCCCUGAGACUUUAAGUCUCCUGAAGGAACGUUGAAGACGACGACGUUGAUAGGCCGGGUGUGUAAGCGCAGCGAUGCGUUGAGCUAACCGGUACUAAUGAACCGUGAGGCUUAACCUUACAACGCCGAAG